This 1125-nucleotide long non-coding RNA is filed under the name Macaca fascicularis (crab-eating macaque). RNAcentral describes it as "lncRNA (ENSMFAG00000065665.1)". The record is from RNAcentral. Lineage: Eukaryota; Metazoa; Chordata; Mammalia; Primates; Cercopithecidae.
UCAUUUUUACUUUAUUUAAGGAAAAAAGGUUGGGGGGACAACAGUAAUUUUCAUAAUACACAGUAGACAAGUUAGCACUGCAAAAAAAAGGGUUGUGUACUUGCCACCAGUCUGCUUUGCAGCUUUUAUAAUUAGUAAAUUUAAUGCAGUUUGUCAUUUGUAUUACUAUUUAGCAAAUUAAUAAUUGGCAAAAUUAGGGUAAGUGUGCUACAACUAAGACGAAAACCUAAAUAACCCAUUAAAAAAAUCACUUAAAAUAAACCAUAAAUAUGUGGUGCGCAUUAGUGUAACAAAACCAUUUUUGUAAACAUUUUCUCCAACAUUAACAUGUGCAUGAGAAAAAAGUAAAAACACUGCACUCAAUACAGAAAGGGUUACUCUGAUCUCAAUACAGAAAGGUUAUUACUUACGAAAGCUUUGACUAAACCUAGAGAUAUUUUUGUUUUGUUUGGAAGAGCACUCCUAUAACAGUUCAAUGUUCCGUAUGUAAUGGAAUCAUUACAAUACUGUUUUCUCGUGUAAUUUUGCCAUAUUGGCACUUCUGUGGAGAAGUCACUACCCUGUAAAAGGGGGGAAAAUAACUCCUUUCCUAAAAGAAUCUAAACAUUUCAACGACUCCCAAUCUUUUAUGGAGAAACUUCACUGGGUACCUGCAUCAAGCUAUAGCAACUCAAUCUGGUUUACAAGGGGGUGAGGCUAAGAAGGGAAGGAAAAAAGCCAAGUAAAGCACAGACCAGGAAGCCCCCGCCUAGAGGGACAAAGGGUGGUCCAAUUUCAGUAACUUAAGUCCAACAAUGGAUUCCAUUCAGUUCACCACAAACACCAAGACAGUGCCCACGGGGUGCCUGGAGCUACACAAGCAGAGCAAGCACAACUCGGUGUGAGCUCAGACCCCUUCACCACCUAUGGGAAAGCCAGUUUUCCUCAAGUUCUAAGCACUUGGUAAUUCCAGUGAAACACCAUUUGCAUUUUUUGUGUAACCCUUGACUUACAGAUGUGGAGCUUCAAGUCUUUGGAUAAUGUAAGACCACGAUGCCACAUUCUUUGUUCUCUGCCUUCUCCCACUUAACAUCAGACAUUGAGCAUUUCUUCAAAGACAUCUGCCCACCUUUUACUGUUCUCUAA